This 579-nucleotide ribosomal RNA is filed under the name uncultured bacterium. RNAcentral's name for it is "bacterial SSU rRNA". It matches the Rfam family "Bacterial small subunit ribosomal RNA", at positions 140 to 734 of the family's 1533-position model. The record is from RNAcentral.
GGAAUAGUCUCGGGAAACUGGGAGUAAUGCCUUAUAAGAUACGUUUGUCGCAUGGCAUUUGUAUUAAACGCUCCGGCGCCAUAGGAUGGACCCGCGUCCCAUUAGCUAGUUGGUGAGAUAACAGCUCACCAAGGCCACGAUGGGCAACCGGUCUGAGAGGGCGAACGGUCACACUGGAACUGAGACACGGUCCAGACUCCUACGGGAGGCAGCAGUGGGGAAUAUUGCGCAAUGGGGGCAACCCUGACGCAGCAAUACCGCGUGAGUGAAGAAGGUUUUCGGAUCGUAAAGCUCUGUUAUUGGGGAAGAAAAAAAGACGGUACCCAAGAAGAAAGUUCCGGCUAACUACGUGCCAGCAGCCGCGGUAAUACGUAGGGAACAAGCGUUGUCCGGAUUUACUGGGCGUAAAGGGCACGCAGGCGGUUUUUUAAGUCAGAUGUGAAAGGCCACAGCUCAACUGUGGACAUGCAUUUGAAACUGAAAGACUUGAGUAUUGGAGAGGCAAGUGGAAUUCCUAGUGUAGCGGUGAAAUGCGUAGAUAUUAGGAGGAACACCGGUGGCGAAGGCGGCUUGCUGGAC